Molecule: transfer RNA, 73 nt
Filed under: Planctomycetota bacterium
Lineage: Bacteria; Pseudomonadati; Planctomycetota
Description: Planctomycetes bacterium tRNA-Thr
Rfam family: tRNA
About the family: Transfer RNA (tRNA) molecules are approximately 80 nucleotides in length. Their secondary structure includes four short double-helical elements and three loops (D, anti-codon, and T loops). Further hydrogen bonds mediate the characteristic L-shaped molecular structure. tRNAs have two regions of fundamental functional importance: the anti-codon, which is responsible for specific mRNA codon recognition, and the 3' end, to which the tRNAs corresponding amino acid is attached (by aminoacyl-tRNA synthetases). tRNAs cope with the degeneracy of the genetic code in two manners: having more than one tRNA (with a specific anti-codon) for a particular amino acid; and 'wobble' base-pairing, i.e. permitting non-standard base-pairing at the 3rd anti-codon position.
Source: RNAcentral
GGAACCGUAGCUCAAGAGGCAGAGCGCUGUGUUUGUGAUGCAGAGGUUGUGGGUUCAAUCCCCAUCGGCUCCA